RNAcentral lists this ribosomal RNA (252 nucleotides) under uncultured bacterium. Its description in RNAcentral is "partial 16S ribosomal RNA". It matches the Rfam family "Bacterial small subunit ribosomal RNA", at positions 524 to 776 of the family's 1533-position model. The record is from RNAcentral.
UACGGAGGAUGCGAACGUUAUCCGGAUUUAUUGGGUUUAAAGGGUGCGUAGGCGGAUCGUUAAGUCAGUGGUCAAAUUGAGGGGCUCAACCCCUUCCCGCCAUUGAAACUGGCGAUCUUGAGUGGAAGAGAAGUAUGCGGAAUGCGUGGUGUAGCGGUGAAAUGCAUAGAUAUCACGCAGAACCCCGAUUGCGAAGGCAGCACGCCGGCUUCCUACUGACGCUGAAGCACGAAAGCGUGGGGAUCGAACAGG